RNAcentral lists this transfer RNA (72 nucleotides) under Caudoviricetes sp. RNAcentral's name for it is "tRNA-Pro". It matches the Rfam family "tRNA". From Rfam's summary of the family: Transfer RNA (tRNA) molecules are approximately 80 nucleotides in length. The record is from RNAcentral. Lineage: Duplodnaviria; Heunggongvirae; Uroviricota; Caudoviricetes.
AUUCGCAUGGUGUAAUUGGCAGCCCGCUGGUAAAGGAUACCGGAGGUACAGGUUCGAUCCCUGUUGCGAGGA